Molecule: ribosomal RNA, 433 nt
Filed under: uncultured bacterium
Lineage: Bacteria
Description: partial 16S ribosomal RNA
Rfam family: Bacterial small subunit ribosomal RNA
Source: RNAcentral
AACGAACGCUGGCGGCAUGCCUAACACAUGCAAGUCGAACGAGACCUUCGUGUCUAGUGGCGCACGGGUGCGUAACGCGUGGGAACCUGCCCUUAGGUUCGGAAUAACUCCCCGAAAGGGGUGCUAAUACCGGAUAAUGUCUUCGGACCAAAGAUUUAUCGCCUUUGGAUGGGCCCGCGUUGGUUUAGCUAGUUGGUAGGGUAAAAGCCUACCAAGGCGACGAUCCAUAGCUGGUCUGAGAGGAUGAUCAGCCACACUGGGACUGAGACACGGCCCAGACUCCUACGGGAGGCAGCAGUGGGGAAUAUUGGACAAUGGGCGAAAGCCUGAUCCAGCAAUGCCGCGUGAGUGAUGAAGGCCUUAGGGUUGUAAAGCUCUUUUACCCGGGAUGAUAAUGACAGUACCGGGAGAAUAAGCUCCGGCUAACUCCGUG